CCUACGGGGGGCAGCAGUGAGGAAUAUUGGUCAAUGGGAGAGAUCCUGAACCAGCCAAGCCGCGUGAGGGAAGACGGCCCUAUGGGUUGUAAACCUCUUUUGUCGGAGAACAAAACCCGGGACGAGUCCCGGACUGCGUGUAUCCGAAGAAAAAGCAUCGGCUAACUCCGUGCCAGCAGCCGCGGUAAUACGGAGGAUGCGAGCGUUAUCCGGAUUUAUUGGGUUUAAAGGGUGCGUAGGCGGUCCGUUAAGUCAGCGGUAAAAUUGCGGGGCUCAACCCCGUCGAGCCGUUGAAACUGGCAGACUUGAGUUGGCGAGAAGUACGCGGAAUGCGCGGUGUAGCGGUGAAAUGCAUAGAUAUCGCGCAGAACUCCGAUUGCGAAGGCAGCGUACCGGCGCCAGACUGACGCUGAGGCACGAAAGCGUGGGGAUCGAACAG
RNAcentral lists this ribosomal RNA (439 nucleotides) under uncultured bacterium. RNAcentral describes it as "bacterial SSU rRNA". It matches the Rfam family "Bacterial small subunit ribosomal RNA", at positions 338 to 775 of the family's 1533-position model. The record is from RNAcentral.